UUAAAAAAAAAAAAAAAAAAAAAAAUUUCUUUUCUUUUUUUUUGAGAUACCAUGUACGCACAUGACGACAGUACGAGGUAGUAAUAUAAGAGAAAAUAUAU
This 101-nucleotide non-coding RNA is filed under the name Ctenophora environmental sample. The record is from RNAcentral. Lineage: Eukaryota; Metazoa; Ctenophora.